GUUUUAACUACCAAACUCUUAUUAAUUCGCUUUUACGUUGCCUUUGAUAGCUCCGUCGUUUACUCUGCGCUUUAAUGUGUCUUGCCAUAUUGCUUCAGGCUCCACAGCAGACCUAACGUCAGCAUGUCGGUCCUCUCUUCCAUCUGAGCGCAGCUGCUAGCAGCACUGCUGCCUGAGGACAAUGGCCAGCCACCCAGCGAAGCAGCAGUAACGUGGAGUGACAGCCAAUGGAGAGCAGAGAGGCACAGACAUCAGAUGGUAAAGGAGGUGACAUCUGUGAGAGAUGUCAGAGGGACUCCAGGAGCGACUCCAGAGGGAGACAUGAUUCGGCUUGGACGCAUUCCACCAUCAGGUUUUUGGCAUACACUGAGGAACCACUCUCCCACCUUCAUUAUUCCUGCAUGAAUCAGAUUGAGGAACAGCUGCUCGGGUGACUCAACUGGA
Long non-coding RNA from Siniperca chuatsi (mandarin fish), 444 nucleotides. RefSeq lists it as uncharacterized. The record is from RefSeq and is a predicted model, not a curated record. NCBI's taxonomy places the organism in Eukaryota, Metazoa, Chordata, Actinopteri, Centrarchiformes, Sinipercidae. The transcript is spliced from 3 exons.